This 381-nucleotide ribosomal RNA is filed under the name uncultured marine Chaetocerotaceae. RNAcentral describes it as "SSU rRNA". It matches the Rfam family "Eukaryotic small subunit ribosomal RNA", at positions 587 to 972 of the family's 1831-position model. Lineage: Eukaryota; Bacillariophyta; Thalassiosirophyceae; Chaetocerotales; Chaetocerotaceae. The record is from RNAcentral.
AGCUCCAAUAGCGUAUAUUAAAGUUGCUGCAGUUAAAAAGCUCGUAGUUGCAUUUCCGAGGCAAGGGAUUAGUCCGACCUUUGGUGGGUAUUUAAUCCUCUUGCCUCGUCCUUGAGUGGUGCUUCUUGGUAUUAAGUUAUCGAGGAGAUAGCCGCUCAUCGUUUACUGUGAGAAAAUUAGAGUGUUCAAAGCAGGCUUAUGCCGUUGAAUAUAUUAGCAUGGAAUAAUAAGAUAGGACCUCGGUACUAUUUUGUUUGUUUGAGAACCAAGGUAAUGAUGAAUAGGGACAGUUGGGGGUAUUCGUAUUCAGUUGUCAGAGGUGAAAGUCUUAGAUUUACGGAAGACGAACUACUGCGAAAGCAUUUACCAAGGAUGUUUUCA